Molecule: small RNA, 113 nt
Filed under: Arabidopsis thaliana (thale cress)
Lineage: Eukaryota; Viridiplantae; Streptophyta; Magnoliopsida; Brassicales; Brassicaceae
Description: ATSL085640
Source: RNAcentral
UAGUAAAAAAACAUUAAAAGCCCAAAAAACACUAAAGCCCAAAAAUUCACUAUAACCCAAAAACAAAAAAAGAAGGGAACCGUGAAAAGACAACAAAAAAGUAACCAAAAAAA